GUUUUUCUAGAAUGACCAAUAUUUGUUUUAUAUCUUCUAGGCCAGCUCCCAUAGUGUGACGGGCGGUGUGUACAAGGCCCGGGAACGAAUUCACCGCCGGGGAGCGUUCCGCCUUAGAAGGAAGCCCCCGCGCGAGCAGUGGAGGACGAAGCGGAAGCGAGAAUGUCGGCUUGAGUAACGCAAACAUUGGUGAGAAUCCAAUGCCCCGAAAACCUAAGGGUUCAUUGGUGCAGCAGAGUUGUAUGUGGAAACUA
Molecule: long non-coding RNA, 254 nt
Filed under: Olea europaea subsp. europaea
Lineage: Eukaryota; Viridiplantae; Streptophyta; Magnoliopsida; Lamiales; Oleaceae
Rfam family: Bacterial large subunit ribosomal RNA
Source: RNAcentral